This 279-nucleotide ribosomal RNA is filed under the name uncultured bacterium. Its description in RNAcentral is "partial 16S ribosomal RNA". It matches the Rfam family "Bacterial small subunit ribosomal RNA", at positions 506 to 784 of the family's 1533-position model. The record is from RNAcentral.
UGCCAGCCGCCGCGGUAAUACGAAGGGACCUAGCGUAGUUCGGAAUUACUGGGCUUAAAGAGUUCGUAGGUGGUUGAAAAAGUUGGUGGUGAAAUCCCAGAGCUUAACUCUGGAACUGCCAUCAAAACUUUUCAGCUAGAGUUUGAUAGAGGAAAGCAGAAUUUCUAGUGUAGAGGUGAAAUUCGUAGAUAUUAGAAAGAAUACCAAUUGCGAAGGCAGCUUUCUGGCUAUUUUCUGACGCUGAGGAGCGAAAGCGUGGGGAGCAAACAGGAUUAGAUA